Molecule: ribosomal RNA, 347 nt
Filed under: uncultured bacterium
Lineage: Bacteria
Description: partial 16S ribosomal RNA
Rfam family: Bacterial small subunit ribosomal RNA
Source: RNAcentral
CCUACGGGGGGCAGCAGUGAGGAAUAUUGGUCAAUGGGAGAGAUCCUGAACCAGCCAAGCCGCGUGAGGGAAGACGGCCCUAUGGGUUGUAAACCUCUUUUGUCGGAGAACAAAACCCGGGACGUGUCCCGGACUGCGUGUAUCCGAAGAAAAAGCAUCGGCUAACUCCGUGCCAGCAGCCGCGGUAAUACGGAGGAUGCGAGCGUUAUCCGGAUUUAUGGGGUUUAAGGGGUGCGUAGGGGGUCCGUUAAGUCAGCGGGGAAAUGGCGGGGCUGAACCCCGUCGAGCCGUUGAAACUGGCAGACUUGAGUUGGCGAGAGGUACGCGGAAUGCGGGGUGGAGCGGUG